CCUACGUGAGGCAGCAGUGAGGAAUAUUGGUCAAUGGCCGGAAGGCUGAACCAGCCAUGCCGCGUGAAGGGCAGGGCCCUAUGGGCGUUAAACUUCUUUUGUGCGGGAGCAAGAAUGGUCACGGGUGGCCAGACGAGAGUACCGUACGAAAAAGCAGCGGCUAACUCCGGGCCAGCAGCCGCGGUAAUACGGGGGAUGCAAGCGUUUUCCGGAUUUCAUGGGUUUAAAGGGUGCGUAUGCUGUGCGGUAAGUCUGCGGGGAAAUGCCCCCGCUCAACGGGGGGAAGUGCCAUUGAUACUGCCUUGCUGGACUGCGGCUGCCGUGGGUGGCAUGUGUGUUGUAGCGG
Molecule: ribosomal RNA, 346 nt
Filed under: uncultured bacterium
Lineage: Bacteria
Description: partial 16S ribosomal RNA
Rfam family: Bacterial small subunit ribosomal RNA
Source: RNAcentral